GCGAGCUGCAUCCAUUAUAUCUGCUAUCGGUGGUGAGGAAGUGAAAAGCAGUCUCGACAGAGGAUUAGACUACAAACCCUCCAUUAAAAGGAGGGAAUUAUCAUACCAUUCACGUGAUGAAUGUGUCACGCCACAGGAAGACACCUCAUAAUGGCUAACAUCGGGGGCAUCUUUGUGUAUUUUCAUGAACAUGGUAUGAAAAGGAGGUCCUUAGCCCUGGUGAUGGAGGCUGCUGCAGCUACAGGACUACCUGUGUCUUUAGUUAAGAACUGGAUUUGUAACUAUGGGUGUUCACUUAAUACCUCCUGCAACACCCGGCGCCGCAAAGCUGCUGGUUAUAAGUGCAGUGUCUGCCUAUAACUUGUUUUGCGCAGAGCUGCUGAAGGGGAAAGGGGCUACACUGCUAAAUGCAACGUCUCCUAUGGUGCGGAGCCUGGUGCAAGGAAUUAUGAGGAGGCCAUUGUUAGAGGAGUGCAGGUCGGAAUGUAGGGGUGCAGAAGGUCAGUAACGUAUGAUGGCGCCAGUCCAUCGGGUGCUUUGUAGGUGAGCAUUAGAAGUUUGAAGGUGAUCCUGUAUUGGUCAAGUAAGCCAAUAGCGCACAACACUUUCACCAUGACAAUAUCCUCUGUUAUAGUUGACAUCAGUAGACAAUAUUGUCAUCUCAGGUGAUCCUACAAUCCUCAGUGGCAGGUGGGGGAGUUUAGGUGAGAUGGAGAGGAGGAAAUUCCAGAAGAUGGCUGAGGAGCUCAGGGAGUCAAGGGAUAAAGGACAGAUGACUGAAGACGUUACGGCAAGAAAAGUUGAUGACCACGGUGCACAACUGAGCAAGAGGACAAAUGAAUGUGGUGAAAAAGGUUGGUUCCCUUAUUGCUCUUUUGAGGAGAGGACCGUAAUUCGAUGUCUGGGGCAUGAGUUAACCAUCAAGCGACCGUCAUCUUAUGGAAAGAAACAGCUGGAAGACAUACUGGCAAAGGCAGGGGACUUCGAAUUCAAAAUGAUUUUUUCUCAUUCUGUCUUGUUUUUGUUCAAUUUUCCAAUGAAAUGUGUACUUGACAUAUACUUGAAAUGUAUACUUGAAAUUCAUUAAAAAUCCUACAAUGUGAUUUUCUG
Long non-coding RNA from Oncorhynchus tshawytscha (Chinook salmon), 1110 nucleotides. RefSeq lists it as uncharacterized. The record is from RefSeq and is a predicted model, not a curated record. The transcript has 5 exons. Lineage: Eukaryota; Metazoa; Chordata; Actinopteri; Salmoniformes; Salmonidae.